This is a non-coding RNA of Paramuricea clavata, 244 nucleotides long. Lineage: Eukaryota; Metazoa; Cnidaria; Anthozoa; Malacalcyonacea; Plexauridae. The record is from the annotation of a GenBank genome assembly.
CAUUGUAGACCUUCUGAAAUAUUGCGUGACGCCUUAUCAUCCAGAUAUUCCCGAACCAACUGGAUUGAGUAUUUUUAUGAAAGGUCUUGCAGAACUGGAAAUUGAUAAAAGCCUAAUCUUAAAUGGACAUGUCCUUUCCGUGCUAGCCCACAAGUGGUCCCGUCAGUAUACACAAUCUGAUGCUGACGCAACUUGUAACAGUUGUAACAAAGAUAUAUACAUCUCCCAUUUGAGUACGUGCCCC